This 240-nucleotide long non-coding RNA is filed under the name Pelobates cultripes (western spadefoot toad). The record is from RNAcentral. Lineage: Eukaryota; Metazoa; Chordata; Amphibia; Anura; Pelobatidae.
GCCUCCUAUAGGGCACUCGGCAGAUCUCCAGUUCAAUAAGACAUACCAACAAUAAGACAUACAACAAUUCACAUAGCAAGUAGUAUAUCAACAUCUGGUAUAAAUACACAUAUUAUUACACAGUAGCAGAUGCAUCUGUAUAUACGUAACUGGUAAUAUAGUUCACAUACAUUUUUCACAGCACGCUGCUCACACAACAGACUUUCCCCUAGCAAGGGGACAUACAACAUACAAGGUGGG